CGGGUACGGGUUGUGAGAGCAAGAGCCCGGAGAUGGAUUCUGAGACAUGAAUCCAGGCCCUACGGGGCGCAGCAGGCGCGAAAACUUUACAAUGCGGGAAACCGUGAUAAGGGGACACCGAGUGCCAGCGUCAUACGCUGGCUGUCCAGGUGUGUAAAAUACACCUGUUAGCAAGGGCCGGGCAAGACCGGUGCCAGCCGCCGCGGUAACACCGGCGGCCCGAGUGGUGAUCGUGAUUAUUGGGUCUAAAGGGUCCGUAGCCGGUUUGGUCAGUCCUCCGGGAAAUCUGAUAGCUCAACUAUUAGGCUUUCGGGGGAUACUGCCAGGCUUGGAACCGGGAGAGGUAAGAGGUACUACAGGGGUAGGAGUGAAAUCUUGUAAUCCCUGUGGGACCACCUGUGGCGAAGGCGUCUUACCAGAACGGGUUCGACGGUGAGGGACGAAAGCUGGGGGCACGAACCGGAUUAGAUACCCGGGUAGUCCCAGCCGUAAACGAUGCUCGCUAGGUGUCAGGCAUGGCGCGACCGUGUCUGGUGCCG
Molecule: ribosomal RNA, 539 nt
Filed under: uncultured Methanosarcina sp.
Lineage: Archaea; Methanobacteriati; Methanobacteriota; Methanomicrobia; Methanosarcinales; Methanosarcinaceae
Description: bacterial SSU rRNA
Rfam family: Archaeal small subunit ribosomal RNA
Source: RNAcentral